UUCGCCCUUUUCCGGUUGAUCCUGCCGGAAGUUACUGCUAUCGGUGUUCGACUAAGCCAUGCGAGUCAAAUGUUCUUCGUGAACAUGGCGGACUGCUCAGUAACACGUGGAUAACCUGCCCUUAGGUUCGGCAUAACUCCGGGAAACUGGAGAUAAUUCCGAAUAGGUCAAAUAUGCUGGAAUGCUUUUUGGCCAAAAGACCUCGGUUGCCUAAGGAUGGAUCUGCGGUCUAUCAGGUUGUAGUGGGUGUAACGUACCUACUAGCCUACGACGGAUAUGGGUUGUGAGAGCAAGAGCCCAGAGAUGGAUUCUGAGACAUGAAUCCAGGCCCUACGGGGCGCAGCAGGCGCGAAAACUUUACAAUGCGGGAAACCGCGAUAAGGGGACACCGAGUGCCAGCAUUUAUGUUGGCUGUCCACAUGUGUAAACGGCAUGUGUUAGCAAGGGCCGGGCAAGACCGGUGCCAGCCGCCGCGGUAACACCGGCGGCCCGAGUGGUAAUCACUUUUAUUGGGUCUAAAGGGUCCGUAGCCGGUUUGAUCAGUUCUUCGGGAAAUCUGACAGCUCAACUGUUAGGCUUCCGGGGAAUACUGUCAGACUUGGGACCGGGAGAGGUAAGAGGUACUACAGGGGUAGGAGUGAAAUCUUGUAAUCCCUGUGGGACCACCAGUGGCGAAGGCGUCUUACCAGAACGGGUCCGAC
Molecule: ribosomal RNA, 701 nt
Filed under: uncultured archaeon
Lineage: Archaea
Description: bacterial SSU rRNA
Rfam family: Archaeal small subunit ribosomal RNA
Source: RNAcentral